GAGCCUUAGUAGAGAAAUUUGCUAAGUGACUGUUUUCACAUUCAGGGAAACCUAACUUUUGAAAUAUUAGGUAAUCCUGAGCCAAAUUUUAGUUAUAAAAUAGGUGCAGAGACUCGAAGGAAACUAUCCUAACGAAAAAUUAUUUCUCUAUUUUUUUUAUUACGAGUAUUGAUUCAGUACAGAGUACAUAAUAUUUUCGAAAUAAUAAAAACACUUGAAUACUAAUAUUGUAUUCAUCUUAAUUUUUAAAUAAAUCAGAAUAGACGAGGAUAAAGAUAGAGUCCUUUUUUACAGUCUAUAUAAUUUUUAUUUAUAGAUAAUUGUAAAAAGAAAAUCCGUUGGCUUUAAUAGACCUUGAGGGUUCAAGUCCCUCUACCCCCA
Molecule: transfer RNA, 381 nt
Filed under: Caudalejeunea recurvistipula
Lineage: Eukaryota; Viridiplantae; Streptophyta; Jungermanniopsida; Porellales; Lejeuneaceae
Description: partial tRNA-Leu
Rfam family: Group I catalytic intron (bases 1-302)
About the family: Group I catalytic introns are large self-splicing ribozymes. They catalyse their own excision from mRNA, tRNA and rRNA precursors in a wide range of organisms. The core secondary structure consists of 9 paired regions (P1-P9).
Source: RNAcentral